GACAGAGGGUGCAAACGUUGUUCGGAAUUACUGGGCGUAAAGCGAGUGUAGGCGGUUUGGUAAGUCGGAUGUGAAAGCCCCGGGCUCAACCCGGGAAGUGCACUCGAUACUGCCAAGCUAGAGUAUCGGAGAGGUUGGUGGAAUUCUCGGUGUAGAGGUGAAAUUCGUAGAUAUCGAGAGGAACACCGGUGGCGAAGGCGGCCAACUGGACGAAUACUGACGCUGAGACUCGAAAGCGUGGGGGAGCAAACAGG
RNAcentral lists this ribosomal RNA (254 nucleotides) under uncultured bacterium. Its description in RNAcentral is "partial 16S ribosomal RNA". It matches the Rfam family "Bacterial small subunit ribosomal RNA", at positions 524 to 776 of the family's 1533-position model. The record is from RNAcentral.